Molecule: long non-coding RNA, 7143 nt
Filed under: Lactuca sativa (garden lettuce)
Lineage: Eukaryota; Viridiplantae; Streptophyta; Magnoliopsida; Asterales; Asteraceae
Description: long non-coding RNA (LSAT_LNC004634)
Source: RNAcentral
UAGGCUUGUAUGGAAGUCCAUGGAUGAUCCAUGGAUCUUUUAACCCAUGGAUCCUUGGAAAAGGAAAGGUCAUGGGUUAUUAGGGUUUCACCCUAAUCAUGUACACUAUAUAAGCAUGCUUAUGUUGCAUGAAAUAACCACUAGUGUGUGUGCUUGUGUGUGGCUGAUUUUCUAUGUGUGUAUACACUCUCUCAAAGUUUUCCAAGUGUUUGUGGUGAUUUUUGAUUCCAUUUGAGGCAUUCACACUAUUGGUGCUUGGCUCUCAAACUCCAAACAAUCAACCAUCAUCAAAAGGUAUGUAUUUCUACUAGUACUUUUAUGAUUCAUAAUCCUUAUGCUAUGCUAGUUAGGAAGAAACCUUGGAAAUUAUUAUUUGCAUGUAUUUUAGAAGAAAACAUAGAUCCAAGGUUUAUUAGGGUUGCAUGCACACUUAGGAAGUGUUAGAUUGCUCAAAACCCAACAGUGGUAUCAGAGCCUAGGCUUGCUUGUUUGAUACUUGAUGCAAAAUAGUGAAAAAAGUUGAAAUUGUUGCUGUCUGGCUGAUGGACUCGCCGAGUCCAUGGGGGGACUCGCCGAGUUCAAGGCAAAAUUCAUCCUACUCGGCGAGUAGGUUCGUGCACUCGGCGAGUAGAAUGAUCAGAAUGCAGAAUUUCGACUUUUGCUGCUGGAAAUGGACUAGAAACAUUACCCUAAACUGUUUUGGUGUUUUAAAACUUGUUUUAGUUGGUGUAAUGGUUGUUCUAAUCCAUUUACAAUAGCAUAUAUCAAAAUUCCAUGAUUUUUAUGUGUUCAUAUAAUUCUUGAAAUUUUGAUGAUCAUGUUCAUGUUCUUAUGAAUUUAGAAGAUGAUAGGAAUUAUUUGCUGAAUUGUUUAGAAUUAAUUCUUGAUCAUUUAUGUGUUUUAAUGGAGUCCAUAAUUUGUCCUCAAGUUAUGGAUAUCCAAAGGUCACUUUUCUUUAACACACACAUUUAAACACAUAAGUUACAUGAAAAUGAAGAGUCUUCAUUUUUAUGAACCUUUAAUUCAUAAGUUAUGAAAUGAAAAGUUUUGGAUAGUUACAAAACUUGCCCUCAAGUUUUGGAAUUUGAAAAGUUUCACACACUUUAAUAAACUUUAAUUCCAACACUUAGAGUUUUAAAAGUUAAAAUUCAACACUUAUACUAUUUAUAACAUUAAUGGUUAAUUAUUAUAUAUAUGUAUAAGAACAAGUCGUUUUACCGUUAGUAGGCCUCAUUCACGAAGCCGGUCUAUAAGGUGGGUAUAAGGUUGUUGCCUAUAAAAUGGCGACUUAAUGGGUGUCCACUCUCACCCACCGCUUGCUUGAUCGGUGGAGGGUCGUUAGCCGAACGGGUAGGACAAUGACUUUAAAUUCUCAUUAAAAGUAUAAUGAUUAUUAUAAAGUAACUAAAAAUUUUUUAUUUAAUUCCCAAUCUUAGUUACUUUAGGAAAAAUGUGAAUUUGGUGCUAGCCCAUGGAAUUCACACUUUGUACCUUACCAAGUCGUUGGUGGAGCGUGUGUGGUUAACCGGCACACUAACUUGGACUAGUAAGGAUCACGAAGGGUGACUUAAUGUUUGUCAUAGAUCAAUGGAGCGUGUGUGGUUAACCGGCACAUUGAUUAGGUGAUAAUAUUAAGGGUACCAAGUGAAUUGGUAUGGUUAUUCACACCUUGUUUUGUGAUCCUCGGCAUCCCAGUCACAAAAUUUGAGAGGGCACACUCGAGAUUGAAACAUGCCAUUGAAAAGUUCAAUGAAUCUCAAAAGAUCUAGGAAUUUCAAAUCCAAUUAAAACCUAAUAAAUUAUUUCGUUUUUCAUGGUGGAAAUUGGUGAAUCGUCAUUCGCCUACCUUCAAAUAUUUUAUAGCUUGGAUUACGGCAUCCCUCUUCCAAAUUAUAAAAUAUUGUGUUGGGUCCUAGCCUUAAUAUUUCAUAUUGGGUGUUAUAUUAAGGACUUUGAAUCAACUAACUUGAUUUUCUCCCAUUAUAGAUGUCUGGUUCAGACAACUAUGAUCUUCCCAAAUCUCUUGAAGAUGGUGUCCCUCAACAUCAUGCUUCACUUCCUCCACCUCCUCCAAUUAUUCUCCCUCACCCACAAGUUCUUGAAAAGUUUAAAGUCACUCAAUCCCUAUUGGCAAGCAUAGUCUAUGUGUGCUCACAUCUUGGAGAUAAAGUCACAUAUUGACAAGCCGGGAGAGUUGGGUGUCAAAGUCUCGUGAAAGUUGGAUGUUCAAUCACUUUCUUAGUAACAUAGUGAGUCUCUUUGGGACUACUAUGAGACAGACUAUGACAUGACCCUUAAUGAUGUUAUCUAUUUGCUUGGUGUUGUGGAAUCAGCAAUGAUUUGGAACACCAGUAAAGCAAAUUUGAUUAAAAGAACAACUUCCCAAGUCUUAAAUGGACAUUGACAAUGGUAGCAUUGGAUAUCUAGAAAAGGAUUUCUCUUCCCAAUGGAAAGGGAUCGGCCAUAGUCAACUCGGUUGACCAAAUGGUAAAGAGAAAGGCUAAGUCUGAGAUAGUCUCAUGUGCCAUUACCAAAGGGUCCAUGUGUUUUGUUGCCAAAGGAAGGGGCAUUGGUUGCGAAGCUGCCCUAUUCACCUGAAAGGUCAUAAGGUUGAUCAAGUCAAGAGGUUUGACUCUACUUCGGGUAAAGUCCACUGUCUAACUCUAUUAAGUUCCUAUUUGGAGAUUCUUAUUACAUAAUGUGAAUGGGUCACAUGCUGAUGUUUUUAAGAAUCAAAGAAAAGAUAGGAAGCUUAAAGUAAGUAUAUGUUGAUUCUGAUUGCGAAGGUGGGUUUCGAUCGCAUGGUUCGGUAAUCAGAAUUUUGAGCUGUUGCUUAAGAGUUAUAAUAUAUUGCUUAUGAAUAGAUAACAACAAGGUUUUCAUGUGGAUUGUAAGGAUAAGUUUUUCCGCAAAGUUUUAAAAAAAAAAAAAAAAAGGGUUUUAAUUUUAUUUAUUUUAAAAAUAUCCUUACAAUGGCAUCUGUGGAAAAUUGUUGCUUAUAUGUUUCCAGUAAUAGCAAUAUUGGAAAGUGGAUUUGAUUCUUUCAUUUGUGGUAGUGUCUGAAUUUACCAAAUGAAGAAAGUUUUUCAUCACCCAAGUUUCAAUUGGACAGAAACUUGGAAUCAUACAAGUUGUAUUGUAUGAUGAAUGAGAAUUUUCAUCUUUGAAAAUUAAGACUAAUUCUUUGAUCACAUGUAUAUGUGAGUCAAUUGAAGGACUAAGGAAUUAGGUACACUGGGUGUGCGCUGGUCAAGGUCCACCACAAAGAUUGAUUUGUCAUGAUUUACUAAAGAUUAGUAAAUAUGAUUAUACUUAUGAGGUUAAGUAUAAUUCUGUAACAUUGGAAAGGUUACAAUGUAUGACAAAACAAAUGAGAAGAAUCAAAUUAGGCAGAAAGAUAAAAGUUUCUCAAAUCUGAAAGGAUGGGAGAGUACUUUAGUAUCGUAUUUCAUGAUCAUCUUAAUGAUUAUGAAACCAUAUCACAAAUUCAUACUCUAAGGACGUCUUAGUGCAUUGUUAUGGCUAAGAAGAGAGGUCAUGAAUUGUUGGAUUGGUUAAAAUCAAGAAGAUGAGUCAUACUUCGUUCCAAAACAAUUCUUAGAGUCAUACUCCAAGAUUGUAACUUUGAGUGACAUAAAGGAAGAUUUAUUAACACUAGUCAAAUGUAAGAGUAAAAUGUUUUCUACUCUUGUACAUUUGAGAUUGGUAAGUUGUGAUGUCUUGGAUGAGACAAAGACCAACUAAGACCAAUUGUGUGAAGUGUUAGUCUUGAUAAGAAUCCGCACUAUCCCUUGAAUAUUUGUUUUGUCAAGGAAUGGUUCUUGACUGGGGAAACUUAUAUGUCAAGGGGACAGUGGGAGCCUUAAAGAUCCUGAAAGAGUUUCAAGAUUUAAUCAAGAGUAAAACCUGUAAUUUAUCACUAGCACACGACUUAAGGUUUGCAACCUAUCGUGUUGACAUAAUUCUUAUUUCUGUACCUACUUCAAAUAAGUUGAAUUUGCAUGUGAGUUAUCAGAGUUCAACUUGGAAGCAUUGGUGGGCCUUGUGCUACCAAGGUGACAAGAAACUAAGAUUGAACAAGUUUAAUCCAUGUAAGGCUGAAUUUGUCACUAACCUUAUCUUGUGAUUAUGGUUUUGACAAAUUCACAUGGAUAGGAACUCAUACACUAUAAAAUCUAAGUGUCAUAAGGUUUCUCUCCGAUUCAUGAAAAUGAUGGUGAGGAAACGCUUUCACUAAGUAGAUUUUACGUAGAUAUCAAUUGUGUUAUUUGCAUUUUCAAAAGUCAUUAGUGGAGCGCGUGUGGUUAACCGGCACACUAACAUGGACUUGUGAGAAAUGGCAAAUGCCUAAGCAAUUGAGACUAUGAUUACGGCAUCCCUUUUCAUAGUUCUGAAAAUUGUUUAGACACACAUGUGAGCUAUCUAAGAAAGGGUGUAUGAAUCUAAAUUUCAGAAGUCCAGCAGAUUUCUGGAAAUAUGUCAGAGCUAGUGGGAGCAUAAGUGUUAUGCUGAUAAUCAUCAUGUUAGUGGGAGCAUGAUUAUUACGUUUAGUGUUGCAAGUUAGCAAUGUUAAUUAUAGAAAACAAAGUUUCAAUUCGUGAAGUUGCAGGGGUUGAAAAGUUGUUUUGCUAUAAUUAAGGGAGAGGAAAUUAUACUUCAUUUCAAUUCUAAAGCUUAGAUUGAGAUUUUAAUCAUCUUUAGUCAAGAAUAUAUAUAUGAAUUUUAUGUUGGAAUGGUUCAACUUGAAGAAAUUCUAUAUAUAUUGCGUUUUCAAAAUUCGAUUAUGAUUACGGCAUCCCUCUUCAUAGUUAAAUUUUGAAAACAUGGCAAAUAAAAAAUAUUGUAGCAAAAGACUGGUCUAGUAUCAUGUCUUUAUGUCAAACAUCAUGAAUCGUGUCCCAUAUGCUUCGGAUAUAGGAUCGAUUGCAUGUGCUAUAAUAUUCAUCUUUUCUAAAUUUUCCAAAUGCUUAAGGCAUUGAGAAGGGAAAAGUCUAGAACUGGAUAUGACUAAAGUGAUUAAGCAAUUGUCGAGGACAAUCUGAGGUUCGCCAAAGAUUGGUUGCUCAGGGAAAGUUGGAAGUAUGAUGUAAGUUGUCGGAAAGGACCAUAUUGACAUAUUCUGAAAAGAAGUAACUCUUGUUCGGAAGUGAUAGUCAAAAUGGGACUAUGGAAAUGUCUCCAUAGGUGGAAGUUAUUCAAUCUAUGUAAGAUUAGAAAACCUUAAUGCAAGAAGGAUGUUCAAAGCAAUGUACUUUGAAUAUGAGACUUCCGUUCCAUAGAAGUUGACCUUCUUUGGAAUACUCUGUAAUGACUGGUGACAAGGUUUUGGUGACUUUGUGCAUAAUCAUUACAAGAGGAACAUUGCAUAAAAGUUUAAAAUCUAACAGUUUUUUUGGUAAAUGAUAGGAAUCGGGGAUUCUCACAUUUACAAUAAGGAUUUGGGAUUGUGAAAUGAGUAUCAUUGGAAUCAUGUUCAAUUGAUCUACAUCACAAUGUAAGGAUCAUAGACAAACAUAGUGUGCAUACUUGGAGUAUGGCAUAACUAUUGUUUAGAAAAACAAAGUGUACAUGCUAGGAGCAUGGGACGACUGUUGUUUUUAUUCAAGUCUUAAGUUGAUUGUUUGAAACAUUAUACAAUGAAUAAUGUGUAAUCAAUAUGGUGAUAAAUAAAAGGUGGUUCUAUUUAUAUUCAAAAGGGUUCUGAGACCAUAUUGGAUUCGAUUAUUAUUGUGUUUCACUUUGCAUGUUUUGACUUCCAAAAUAGCUAGGUUAUUCUUUCCGAAUGACUAAGUUAUUUAAACACUCCACAGUCGUUCAUAUGUUGGAAGUAGGUAUGAAUCAAGACUGUCAUGAAUCGAGUUUGUAGAUGGCUAAAUGGGUUUAGUCAUAGCAAUGGUUGCUACAACAUUCAUGAGUGCUCAUAAGUUAUGAGUAUUGGAAUAAACCCACGCUCACUUGUAUCACUUCAUGGAAUUUAUCUCGAGUGAUCGUGAGACGGUAAUAUCAUAUAAAUCUUCAAACCUAGAGAUAUGAGUUGUUACCUAUGAGUUGGUUGUGCAUUGAUUGCACGUAAACGCAUCAGUAACUUGAUGUUAUAAAACGUGCCUUUGUGUACAAUUCAACAAGUAGUAGAACAAGCAUAUGAGUCGAAGUUUAUCUGUUCCUUCUAGAAAUAGAAGCGAUAUCUGGGCCCCUCGAUGAUUUUGUUGUGACCUAUGUACCGGCCGGUCAGAACUAAAUUGAUGUGUUCGAUUAAGUUCUUUGUCAAACAAAUUGAAAAUCGGGAAACAAACUGCUGGACAAUAAGUACGACGUUGUUCCAUGUAUUUGUCCGGCUGAUAUCAUGAGAACAGAGGAUUAUAUGAUCACUUAUCUAAAAUGGCGCUUCAUAGUUCAACAGAGUUUUCGAGAGCUACGAUUGCUGGUUGGUUCCUGAAGUAACAUACGCAAAUAUAGUUAUUAGACUUAUCCAAGUGGGAGUCUGUUGGAUAAGGUGUCUAAGUCCAUAACUUAUUUGGUAUAUACUUGACCCGACCCGGCAUGGUCCAUUUGGGUUGCACUUCACCCGAACUAUUUAUGGAUAAUUUUAUGAGAGUUAUACACAUAUGUUUAUUAAUAUAUUAUAAGUUAUAAUAUAUUAAUAUGAAGUCAUGUUAUUUAAUUAGUCUUAGUCUUAAAUUAAUUAUGAAUUAAUUUAGAGAUUAAAAGGAAGACUAAUUAGAUUGUGGGCUAUUGGUUUUAUAUAGUGUGGGCUAACACUCAUUUGUUAAUGGGCUAGGCUUGUAUGGAAGUCCAUGGAUUAUCCAUGGAGCUUUUAACCCAUGGAUCCUUGGAAAAGGAAAGGUCAUGGGUUAUUAAGGUUUCACCCUAAUCAUGUACACUAUGUAAGCAUGCUUAUGUUGCAUGAAAUAGCCACUAGUGUGUGUGCUUGUGUGUGGCCGAUUUUCUAUGUGUGUAUACACUCUCUCAAAGUUUUCCAAGUGUUUGUGAUGAUUUGUGAUUCCAUUUGAGGAAUUCACACUAUUGGUGCUUGGCUCUCAAACUCCAAACAAUCAACCAUCAUCAAAAGGUAUGUAUUUCUACUAGUACUUUUAUGAUUCAUAAUCCUUAUGCUAUGCUAGUUAGGAAGAAACCUUGGAAAUU